Molecule: ribosomal RNA, 253 nt
Filed under: uncultured bacterium
Lineage: Bacteria
Description: partial 16S ribosomal RNA
Rfam family: Bacterial small subunit ribosomal RNA
Source: RNAcentral
UACGGGGGGGGUAAGCGUUGUUCGGAAUUACUGGGCGUAAAGGGCGCGUAGGCGGCCUUCUAAGUCGAACGUGAAAUCCCCGGGCUCAACCCGGGAACUGCGUCCGAUACUGGAAGGCUUGAAUCCGGGAGAGGGAUGCGGAAUUCCAGGUGUAGCGGUGAAAUGCGUAGAUAUCUGGAGGAACACCGGUGGUGAAGGCGGCAUCCUGGACCGGCAUUGACGCUGAGGCGCGAAAGCCAGGGGAGCAAACGGG